Biomphalaria pfeifferi is the source of this 339-nucleotide non-coding RNA. NCBI's taxonomy places the organism in Eukaryota, Metazoa, Mollusca, Gastropoda, Planorbidae. The record is from the annotation of a GenBank genome assembly.
GUUUUUUUUUUUUUUUUGUGCGAUGCUUGUUUCAUUUUAUCUUGACUAUUUUAAAGAACUGUUUUAAGUUGGUCAGUGCAAACCACUAGGUAUUGUUGUACACACCUGUUGACUUGGCUCAUUGAGAGGCCAAAAAAAAAAAAAAACUAACAAUAGAACCAAAGCACAAUAUUAGAUGUACAUUACUGGUGUUUUGUUCUUGUUAUUUGUAAUGAUUGUUGAAAGAUAGUGUGACUGUAUCACAGGCAGGACAUAGUACCUUUCACUGAAAUCUGUAUACUUAAGAUAAAACACUAUAGUACAUAGUAAAUAUGAAUGUUUUUGUAGCAUUAUAACUGU